This 490-nucleotide ribosomal RNA is filed under the name uncultured bacterium. RNAcentral describes it as "bacterial SSU rRNA". It matches the Rfam family "Bacterial small subunit ribosomal RNA", at positions 28 to 518 of the family's 1533-position model. The record is from RNAcentral.
GAUGAACGCUAGCGGCAGGCUUAACACAUGCAAGUCGAGGGGCAGCACGUCUUCGGAUGGUGGCGACCGGCGCACGGGUGCGUAACGCGUAUACAACCUACCUUAUAGAGGGGAAUAGCACAGAGAAAUUUGGAUUAAUGCCCCAUAGUAUUAUUGAAUAGCAUUAUUUAAUGAUUAAACAUUUAUGGCUAUAAGAUGGGUAUGCGUUCUAUUAGCUAGAUGGUAAGGUAACGGCUUACCAUGGCGACGAUAGAUAGGGGUCCUGAGAGGGAGAUCCCCCACACUGGUACUGAGACACGGACCAGACUCCUACGGGAGGCAGCAGUGAGGAAUAUUGGACAAUGGGCGAGAGCCUGAUCCAGCCAUGCCGCGUGCAGGAAGACGGCCCUAUGGGUUGUAAACUGCUUUUAUACGGGAAGAAACACUCCUUCGUGAAGGAGCUUGACGGUACCGUAAGAAUAAGGAUCGGCUAACUCCGUGCAGCAGCCGC